RNAcentral lists this ribosomal RNA (441 nucleotides) under Flavivirga jejuensis. RNAcentral's name for it is "bacterial SSU rRNA". It matches the Rfam family "Bacterial small subunit ribosomal RNA", at positions 394 to 831 of the family's 1533-position model. The record is from RNAcentral. Lineage: Bacteria; Pseudomonadati; Bacteroidota; Flavobacteriia; Flavobacteriales; Flavobacteriaceae.
AUGCCGCGUGCAGGAAGACUGCCCUAUGGGUUGUAAACUGCUUUUAUACAGGAAGAAACACCUCUACGUGUAGAUGCUUGACGGUACUGUAAGAAUAAGGACCGGCUAACUCCGUGCCAGCAGCCGCGGUAAUACGGAGGAUCCAAGCGUUAUCCGGAAUCAUUGGGUUUAAAGGGUCCGUAGGUGGACAAUUAAGUCAGAGGUGAAAUCCUGCUGCCUUCCCUGUGAAAUUGCCUUUGAUACUGGUGGUCUUGAGUUAUUAUGAAGUGGUUAGAAUGUGUAGUGUAGCGGUGAAAUGCAUAGAUAUUACAUAGAAUACCGAUUGCGAAGGCAGAUUACUAAUAAUAUACUGACGCUGAUGGACGAAAGCGUGGGGAGCGAACAGGAUUAGAUACCCUGGUAGUCCACGCCGUAAACGAUGGAUACUAGCUGUUCGGACUU